Molecule: ribosomal RNA, 497 nt
Filed under: uncultured bacterium
Lineage: Bacteria
Description: partial 16S ribosomal RNA
Rfam family: Bacterial small subunit ribosomal RNA
Source: RNAcentral
GAUGAACGCUGGCGGCGUGCCUAAUACAUGCAAGUCGAGCGGACAGGCGCUGCGCUUGCUCCUCUGUCGUUUGCCGAGGGCGGGUGUGUCACGCGUGGAACACGUCCCUGUCAUACUGAUAACUCUUCGGGACACCGGCGAUAAUACCGGAUAAUAUCUUGCACCGCAUGGUUCAAUAGUGAAAUACGGUUUUGCGGUCAGUUCUCGCUGGAUCCGCGCCGCAUUAGCUAGUUGGUAAGGUCACGGCCUACCAAGGCAACGAUGCGUAGCCGAACUGAGAGGGUGAUCGGCCACACUGGAACGGAGACACGGUCCAGGGUCCUGAGGGAGGCAGCAGUAGGGAAUCGUACGCAACAGGCGAAAGCCUGACGGAGUGACGCGGCGUGAGUGAUGGAGGUCCUCGGAUCGGAAAACUCGGUUAUGAGGGAAGAACAAAUGUGGAAGGAACCAUGCACGGCGUGACGGUACCGAAUCAGAAAGCCACGGCUAACUACGUG